Molecule: long non-coding RNA, 510 nt
Organism: Mytilus trossulus (common blue mussel)
Lineage: Eukaryota; Metazoa; Mollusca; Bivalvia; Mytilida; Mytilidae
Exons: 2
Source: RefSeq, a predicted model, not a curated record
AGUUCCUGUCAUAGGAUUUGUCUGCCAUUUUAAAAGAUUUUGAAUUAUUAUCAUCGUUAAUAUUCAAAAAAAUAGUUAGGCGUUGUUUGUAAAAAAAAUGAUAAAACAAAUAGUUAUAAUUUUGGUGACAUUUUGUUCUAUAGUUUAUUGUUCAGAAAAGGUUCCAAUGAAAGAAAUCACAAGUGCGUUUAAAGAAAUGGACGCUAAUGCCGAUGGAAAGGUGGUACUACAAGAGACUAUAUCUUACAUGGAGAAGAAGAAACAAAUACCAGAGUCGGAUCACAAAAACAUGGCAGAAUCUAUUUUUACUUUUUACGACAAAAACAAAGAUGGUCAUAUAGUUUUGUCAGAAUUUUUACCUCAUGAUGAAUUGUAAUACAGACACGUACUAAAUCUGGAAGCGCAUCAGUACUAGUGUGCGUAUUUGAAAAAAAGAACUCGAAAGACAUCCGCACUAUGUAAUAUUAUACCCGCCAUUGCGAGCUUGACAUUAAAAUGAUACUAUUUUCA